GCCCUGGUGGUCUAGUGGUUAAGACUGGGUGCUCUCACCGCUGUGGCCCGGGUUCAUCUCCCGGUGAGGGAA
RNAcentral lists this transfer RNA (72 nucleotides) under Equus asinus (donkey). It matches the Rfam family "tRNA". From Rfam's summary of the family: Transfer RNA (tRNA) molecules are approximately 80 nucleotides in length. Their secondary structure includes four short double-helical elements and three loops (D, anti-codon, and T loops). The record is from Rfam by way of RNAcentral. Lineage: Eukaryota; Metazoa; Chordata; Mammalia; Perissodactyla; Equidae. RNAcentral also lists the same sequence under 1 other name.